CCGAGUUUACAACUCCCAAACCCCUGUGAACAUACCACUUGUUGCCUCGGCGGAUCAGCCCGCUCCCGGUAAAACGGGACGGCCCGCCAGAGGACCCCUAAACUCUGUUUCUAUAUGUAACUUCUGAGUAAACCAUAAAUAAAUCA
This 146-nucleotide unclassified non-coding RNA is filed under the name soil metagenome. RNAcentral's name for it is "partial internal transcribed spacer 1". The record is from RNAcentral.